ACUUAGUAGAAGCUUUGGAAAGAGAUAU
This 28-nucleotide non-coding RNA is filed under the name Cricetulus griseus (Chinese hamster). Lineage: Eukaryota; Metazoa; Chordata; Mammalia; Rodentia; Cricetidae. The record is from RNAcentral.